RNAcentral lists this ribosomal RNA (578 nucleotides) under uncultured bacterium. RNAcentral describes it as "bacterial SSU rRNA". It matches the Rfam family "Bacterial small subunit ribosomal RNA", at positions 57 to 649 of the family's 1533-position model. The record is from RNAcentral.
GCAGUCGAACGAGCGAGAGAGAGCUUGCUUUCUCGAGCGAGUGGCGAACGGGUGAGUAACGCGUGAGGAACCUGCCUCAAAGAGGGGGACAACAGUUGGAAACGACUGCUAAUACCGCAUAAGCCCACGACCCGGCAUCGGGUAGAGGGAAAAGGAGCAAUCCGCUUUGAGAUGGCCUCGCGUCCGAUUAGCUAGUUGGUGAGGUAACGGCCCACCAAGGCGACGAUCGGUAGCCGGACUGAGAGGUUGAACGGCCACAUUGGGACUGAGACACGGCCCAGACUCCUACGGGAGGCAGCAGUGGGGAAUAUUGCACAAUGGGGGAAACCCUGAUGCAGCGACGCCGCGUGGAGGAAGAAGGUCUUCGGAUUGUAAACUCCUGUUGUUGAGGAAGAUAAUGACGGUACUCAACAAGGAAGUGACGGCUAACUACGUGCCAGCAGCCGCGGUAAAACGUAGGUCACAAGCGUUGUCCGGAAUUACUGGGUGUAAAGGGAGCGCAGGCGGGAAGACAAGUUGGAAGCGAAAUCCAUGGGCUCAACCCAUGAACUGCUUUCAAAACUGUUUUUCUUGAGUAG